RNAcentral lists this unclassified non-coding RNA (337 nucleotides) under soil metagenome. Its description in RNAcentral is "partial contains 5.8S ribosomal RNA, internal transcribed spacer 2, and large subunit ribosomal RNA". The stretch from base 1 to 120 matches the Rfam family "5.8S ribosomal RNA", at positions 35 to 154 of the family's 154-position model. The record is from RNAcentral.
GAUGAAGAACGUAGUGAAAUGCGAUAAGUAGUGUGAAUUGCAGAAUUCAGUGAAUCAUCGAAUCUUUGAACGCACAUUGCGCCCCUUGGUAUUCCAUGGGGCAUGCCUGUUCGUGCGUCAUUUGUACCUUCAAGCUCUGCUUGGUGUUGGGUGUUUGUCUCGCCUCUGCGUGUAGACUCGCCUCAAAACAAUUGGCAGCCGGCGUAUUGAUUUCGGAGCGCAGUACAUCUCGCGCUUUGCACUCAUAACGACGACGUCCAAAAGUACAUUUUUACACUCUUGACCUCGGAUCAGGUAGGGAUACCCGCUGAACUUAAGCAUAUCAAUAAGCGGAGGA